AUGCACGCUAGCGGCAGGCUUCACACAUGCACGUCGAGGGGCAGCGCGGGAUAGCAAUAUCCUGGCGGCGACCGGCGGAAGGGUGCGUAACGCGUGAGCGACAUGCCCGUUGCCCGGGGACAACCGGUGGAAACGCCGACUAAUCCCCGAUGGGAUAUUGUGCCGCAUGGCACGAUAUUGAAAGUUACGGCGGCGACGGAUUGGCUCGCGUCCGAUUAGCUUGUUGGCGGGGUAACGGCCCACCAAGGCUGCGAUCGGUAGGGGUUCUGAGAGGAAGGCCCCCCACAAUGGGACUGAGACACGGCCCAUACUCCUACGGGAGGCAGCAGUGAGGAAUAUUGGUCAAUGGGCGGAAGCCUGAACCAGCCAUGCCGCGUGCGGGAAGGAGGCCCUAUGGGCUGUGAACCGCUUUUGCCUGGGGGCAAUAAGGGCGUCGCACACGUCCGAUGAGAGUACCAGGCGAAUAAGCAUCGGCUAACUCCGUG
Molecule: ribosomal RNA, 485 nt
Filed under: uncultured bacterium
Lineage: Bacteria
Description: partial 16S ribosomal RNA
Rfam family: Bacterial small subunit ribosomal RNA
Source: RNAcentral